CCUACGGGAGGCAGCAGUGAGGAAUAUUGGUCAAUGGACGAGAGUCUGAACCAGCCAAGUAGCGUGAAGGAUGACUGCCCUAUGGGUUGUAAACUUCUUUUAUAUGGGAAUAAAACGUUCCACGUGUGGGAUUUUGUAUGUACCAUAUGAAUAAGGAUCGGCUAACUCCGUGCCAGCAGCCGCGGUAAUACGGAGGAGACGAGCGUUAUCCGGAUUUAUUGGGUUUAAAGGGAGCGUAGGUGGAUUGUUAAGUCAGUUGUGAAAGUUUGCGGCUCAACCGUAAAAUUGCAGUUGAAACUGGCAGUCUUGAGUACAGUAGAGGUGGGCGGAAUUCGUGGUGUAGCGGUGAAAUGCUUAGAUAUCACGAAGAACUCCGAUGGCGAAGGCAGUUCACUGGACUGCAACUGACACUGAGGCUCGAAAGUGUGGGUAUCAAACAGGAUUAGAUACCCCGGUAGUC
RNAcentral lists this ribosomal RNA (460 nucleotides) under uncultured bacterium. Its description in RNAcentral is "partial 16S ribosomal RNA". It matches the Rfam family "Bacterial small subunit ribosomal RNA", at positions 338 to 795 of the family's 1533-position model. The record is from RNAcentral.